RNAcentral lists this ribosomal RNA (497 nucleotides) under uncultured bacterium. RNAcentral describes it as "partial 16S ribosomal RNA". It matches the Rfam family "Bacterial small subunit ribosomal RNA", at positions 36 to 507 of the family's 1533-position model. The record is from RNAcentral.
UCUUCCCUCUUUCUUCGUGCCUAAUACAUGCAAGUCGAGCGAACGGACGCGAAGCUUGCGUCUCUGAUGUUAGCGGCGGACGUGUGUGUAACGCGUGUAUCACCUCCUUAUAAUACUGGGAUAACUGCGGGAAACCGUAGCUAAUACCGGAGAAUAUUUUGAACCGCAUGGGGCAAAAGUGAAAGACGGUCUUGCUGUCACGUAUCGAUGCAUCCGCGCUUCAUUGGCUAGUUGGUAAGGUAAAGGCUUACCAAGGCUACGAGGCAUAAGCGAGCGGAGAGGGUGAUCGCCCACACUGGAACGGAGACACGCUCCAGAGUCCUAUGGGAGGCACCAGUAUGGAAUCGUCCGCAAUGGUGGGAAACCUGACGGAGUAACGCCGCGUGAGUUAUGACGGUCUUCGGAUCGUAAAGAUCUGUUAUUAGGGAAGAACCUAUGUGUACGUAACUGUGCCCAUAUUGACGGUACCUAAUAAGAAAGCACCGGCUAACUACGUG